Molecule: ribosomal RNA, 484 nt
Filed under: uncultured bacterium
Lineage: Bacteria
Description: partial 16S ribosomal RNA
Rfam family: Bacterial small subunit ribosomal RNA
Source: RNAcentral
AUUGAACGCUGGCGGCAUGCUUUACACAUGCAAGUCGAACGGCAGCGCGGGCUUCGGCCUGGCGGCGAGUGGCGAACGGGUGAGUAAUACAUCGGAACGUGCCCAGUAGCGGGGGAUAGCUCGGCGAAAGCCGGAUUAAUACCGCAUACGACCUGAGGGUGAAAGCGGGGGAUCUUCGGACCUCGCGCUAUUGGAGCGGCCGAUGGCAGAUUAGCUAGUUGGUGGGGUAAAGGCCUACCAAGGCGACGAUCUGUAGCUGGUCUGAGAGGACGACCAGCCACACUGGGGCUGAGACACGGCCCAGACUCCUACGGGAGGCAGCAGUGGGGAAUUUUGGACAAUGGGCGAAAGCCUGAUCCAGCAAUGCCGCGUGUGUGAUGAAGGCCUUCGGGUUGUAAAGCACUUUUGGCGGGAACGAAAAGGACUGUGCCAAUACCACGGUUCGAUGACGGUACCCGCAGAAUAAGCACCGGCUAACUACGUG